GACGAACGCUGGCGGCGUGCUUAACACAUGCAAGUCGAACGGAAAGGCCCUGCUUGCAGGGUCCUCGAGUGGCGAACGGGCGAGUAACACGUGGGUGAACCGCCCUCCACUUCGGGAUAAGCCUGGGCGACUGGGUCCAAUACCUGAUAGGAGCCACUUUUAGCGUGAUGGUUGGAAAGUUCUUUCGGUGUAGGAUGAGCUCUCGGCCUAAUAGCUUGUUGGCGGGGUAAUGGCCUACCAGGGCGGCGACGGGUAGCCGGCGGGGGAGGAUGGUCGGCCACACUGGAGCGGAGACGCGCUCCAGGGUCCUACGGGAGGCCGCAGUCGCGAAUGGUGGACAAUGGGGGGAAGUCUGAUCCAGCGAUACCGCGUGGGUGAAGAAGGCCCCCGGGGGGGAAAGCCCUCUUGUUGGGAAAGAAAAGCUGUAGGUUAAGACCACGCUGUUUUGACGGUACCCAAAGAAUAAGCACCGGCUAACUUCGUG
This 484-nucleotide ribosomal RNA is filed under the name uncultured bacterium. RNAcentral describes it as "partial 16S ribosomal RNA". It matches the Rfam family "Bacterial small subunit ribosomal RNA", at positions 28 to 507 of the family's 1533-position model. The record is from RNAcentral.